RNAcentral lists this ribosomal RNA (497 nucleotides) under uncultured bacterium. Its description in RNAcentral is "partial 16S ribosomal RNA". It matches the Rfam family "Bacterial small subunit ribosomal RNA", at positions 28 to 507 of the family's 1533-position model. The record is from RNAcentral.
GAUGAACGCUGGCGGCGUGCCUAAUACAUGCAAGUCGAGCGAACAGACGAGGAGCUUGCUCCUCUGACGUUAGCGGCGGACGGGUGAGUAACACGUGGAUAACCCACCUAUAAGACUGGGAUAACUUCGGGAAACCGGAGCUAAUACCGGAUAAUAUAUUGAACCGCAGGGUUCAAUAGUGAAAGACGGUUUUGCUGUCUCUUAUAGAUGGAUCCGCGCCGCAUUAGCUAGUUGGUAAGGUAACGGCUUACCAAGGCAACGAUGCGUAGCGGCCAUGAGAGGUUGAUCGGCCACCCUGGAACUGAGACACGGUCCAGACUCCUACGGGAGGCAGCAGUAGGGAAUCUUCCGCAAUGGGCGAAAGCCUGACGGAGCAACGCCGCGUGAGUGAUGAAGGUCUUCGGAUCGUAAAACUCUGUUAUUAGGGAAGAACAAAUGUGUAAGUAACUAUGCACGUCUUGACGGUACCUAAUCAGAAAGCCACGGCUAACUACGUG